GAUGAACGCUAGCGGCAGGCUUAAUACAUGCAAGUCGUGGGGCAGCGCAGGUGGCAAUACUGGGCGGCGACCGGCAAACGGGUGCGGAACACGUACACAACCUUCCGAGAAGUGGGGAAUAGCCCAGAGAAAUUUGGAUUAAUACCCCGUAACAUAACGAUGUGGCAUCACAUUGUUAUUAUAGCUUCGGCGCUUCUUGAUGGGUGUGCGGCUGAUUAGAUAGUUGGCGGGGUAACGGCCCACCAAGUCUACGAUCAGUAGCUGAUGUGAGAGCAUGAUCAGCCACACGGGCACUGAGACACGGGCCCGACUCCUACGGGAGGCAGCAGUAAGGAAUAAUGGUCAAUGGACGCAAGUCUGAACCAGCCAUGCCGCGUGAAGGAUUAAGGUCCUCUGGGUUGUAAACUUCUUUUCUUGGGUACGAAACCCCUGUUUCUACGGGGACUGACGGUACCAGAGGAAUAAGCACCGGCUAACUCCGUGCCAGCAGCCGCGGUAAU
Molecule: ribosomal RNA, 500 nt
Filed under: uncultured bacterium
Lineage: Bacteria
Description: bacterial SSU rRNA
Rfam family: Bacterial small subunit ribosomal RNA
Source: RNAcentral